This is a non-coding RNA of Oryza barthii, 207 nucleotides long. Lineage: Eukaryota; Viridiplantae; Streptophyta; Magnoliopsida; Poales; Poaceae. The record is from Rfam.
AAAAAGACAAACACUGGGUUUUCGUGUCCAACGUUUGAGUGUCCGUCUUAUAUGAAAUUUUUUUUAUAAUUAGUAUUUUCAUUGUUGUUAGAUGAUAAAACAUGAUUAAUAAUUUAUGCGUGACUUGUCUUUUUAAUUUUUUCAUAAUUUUUUUAAAUAAGACAGACGGUCAACCGUUGGACACAAAAACCCAGAGUUUGUCUUUUU